RNAcentral lists this transfer RNA (73 nucleotides) under Candidatus Kentrum sp. TC. RNAcentral's name for it is "Candidatus Kentron sp. TC tRNA_Ala_TGC". It matches the Rfam family "tRNA". From Rfam's summary of the family: Transfer RNA (tRNA) molecules are approximately 80 nucleotides in length. Their secondary structure includes four short double-helical elements and three loops (D, anti-codon, and T loops). Further hydrogen bonds mediate the characteristic L-shaped molecular structure. tRNAs have two regions of fundamental functional importance: the anti-codon, which is responsible for specific mRNA codon recognition, and the 3' end, to which the tRNAs corresponding amino acid is attached (by aminoacyl-tRNA synthetases). tRNAs cope with the degeneracy of the genetic code in two manners: having more than one tRNA (with a specific anti-codon) for a particular amino acid; and 'wobble' base-pairing, i.e. permitting non-standard base-pairing at the 3rd anti-codon position. The record is from RNAcentral. Lineage: Bacteria; Pseudomonadati; Pseudomonadota; Gammaproteobacteria.
GGGGCCAUAGCUCAGCUGGGAGAGCAUCUGCUUUGCAAGCAGGAGGUCGGCGGUUCGAACCCGCCUGGCUCCA